Molecule: ribosomal RNA, 557 nt
Filed under: uncultured eukaryote
Lineage: Eukaryota
Description: SSU rRNA
Rfam family: Eukaryotic small subunit ribosomal RNA
Source: RNAcentral
UGGUUGAUCCUGCCAGUAGUCAUAUGCUUGUCUCAAAGAUUAAGCCAUGCAUGUCUAAGUAUAAGCAAUCUAUACCGUGAAACUGCGAAUGGCUCAUUAAAUCAGUUAUCGUUUAUUUGAUAGUACCUUACUACUUGGAUAACCGUGGUAAUUCUAGAGCUAAUACAUGCUAAAAACCCCGACUUCGGAAGGGGUGUAUUUAUUAGAUAAAAAACCAAUGCCCUUCGGGGCUCCUUGGUGAUUCAUAAUAACUUAACGAAUCGCAUGGCCUUGUGCCGGCGAUGGUUCAUUCAAAUUUCUGCCCUAUCAACUUUCGAUUGUAGAGUAGUGGUCUACAAUGGUUUCAACGGGUAACGGGGAAUUAGGGUUCUAUUCCGGAGAGGGAGCCUGAGAAACGGCUACCACAUCCAAGGAAGGCAGCAGGCGCGCAAAUUACCCAAUCCCGACACGGGGAGGUAGUGACAAUAAAUACUGAUACAGGGCUCUUUUGGGUCUUGUAAUUGGAAUGAGUACAAUUUAAAUCCCUUAACGAGGAACAAUUGGAGGGCAAGUCUGGU